This 77-nucleotide transfer RNA is filed under the name Patescibacteria group bacterium. RNAcentral describes it as "tRNA-Pro". It matches the Rfam family "tRNA". From Rfam's summary of the family: Transfer RNA (tRNA) molecules are approximately 80 nucleotides in length. Their secondary structure includes four short double-helical elements and three loops (D, anti-codon, and T loops). RNAcentral also lists the same sequence under 1 other name. The record is from RNAcentral.
CGGGGUGUAGCUCAGUUGGCUAGAGUGCCUGCUUUGGGAGCAGGAGGUCGUCGGUUCGAGCCCGACCACCCCGACCA